Molecule: ribosomal RNA, 486 nt
Filed under: uncultured Pseudomonas sp.
Lineage: Bacteria; Pseudomonadati; Pseudomonadota; Gammaproteobacteria; Pseudomonadales; Pseudomonadaceae
Description: bacterial SSU rRNA
Rfam family: Bacterial small subunit ribosomal RNA
Source: RNAcentral
GAUGAACGCUGGCGGCAGGCUAACACAUGCAAGUCGAGCGGCAGCACGGGUACUUGUACCUGGUGGCGAGCGGCGGACGGUGAGUAAUGCCUAGGAAUCUGCCUGGUAGUGGGGGAUAACGACUCGGAAACGGACGCUAAUACCGCAUACGUCCUACGGGAGAAAGGCAGGGGACCUUCGGGCCUUGCGCUAUCAGAUGAGCCUAGGUCGGAUUAGCUAGUUGGUGAGGUAAUGGCUCACCAAGGCGACGAUCCGUAACUGGUCUGAGAGGAUGAUCAGUCACACUGGAACUGAGACACGGUCCAGACUCCUACGGGAGGCAGCAGUGGGGAAUAUUGGACAAUAGGCGAAAGCCUGAUCCAGCCAUGCCGCGUGUGUGAAGAAGGUCUUCGGAUUGUAAAGCACUUUAAGUUGGGAGGAAGGGCAGUUACCUAAUACGUGAUUGUUUUGACGUUACCGACAGAAUAAGCACCGACUAACUCUGUG